RNAcentral lists this non-coding RNA (1345 nucleotides) under synthetic construct. The record is from RNAcentral.
GCUCUUGUUGCGAUGGGACCGUUAGGAAGACCCUGGGCUGCGUCCUUUGGUUUCUUUUUCCUGGCGGUCGUCAGCCUAGCCACACCCACCCCUGGAGAAGAUGAUGAUAUUCCUGUAAAAAUCCAUCGGCUGACCUUCGUGAAGGGACUAGUACCAGAUGUUACUGGCGGGAGCAGCUAUUAUGUCUGCGUAUAUCCAUCCAGGAAAUUAUUCUGCACGCCCACCCGCUGGAAAGAUUUAUCCAGAUUCCUGAACUCUGAAACCUUGAACCAGGUAUGCAGCGCCCGGACCAUUUACAGUGUUGUGCCAGUAGAAAUGCUAAGAAUCAUAUCUUUGCCGCUUCCACCUGAGAUCAAGUCUAUCGUUGGUGGGUCGAUUAGAAGUCAAUAUGUAUCCUUUCCAACUUUCAUCUCCCUGCAUCCUGCCAAGUUGCCCAUCUGGAAGUCAUUCGCCAACCUCAAAGUGUCCAUGAAAUUUAGAUCCAGUCAGUGGGAAGUCGCCUUUAGUGUAGUUUCAAAAACUGAUUAUGCCAUAACAUACUGGGCAGAAAUACCUGGAUUUUUGAUACACGAGUCUGCUACCAUAAAUCUCAUCAACCAGCCCCUCCUGGCACUUUAUGCAGAUUUGCACGUGGACAUGGUUAUGCGACUGACUGAUAAAUUUAUUUAUUGUCAAACAUACACCCUUCAACAAAAAAAUUUGACUGACCCUAGAACUGGGAAGAGACCAACUUCCUCUGUGCUAAUUCCUUCUCCCCAUGUGAAGAACUGUCAAAUCAGGAGAAGGAAUGAGACCCAUUUUGUGGACACUUGUUCCUCGGCAUGGGAUAACUAUACUUCUGAGGCUCAUAAUAUUUCAAGGAACAGUUCUUCAAGAGGUUCAAAUGCCACACAGCUGGUCAACAUUACAGCCAACCCCUGCACUCUCCCUACCUUGUGGGAUAACUGGCCAUGUUAUACCAACUACAGAAGUUCGCCAGUACCAGAGAUUGUCAUUCAUGAAAAUAUUCUCCUAGAGGGACGGGCAAUUUAUAUAAUUUAUCACCAAAUUGGACUUUUCGAUCAGCCACGGUUGUGUGUGGCCACUUUUUGGAUGUCUAAAGAGGAAACACUCCUCAUGCAGCUUGAUUACCCUUGUGAAGUUUCUGUAGAGAAAAAGGGUAAGAAAUUUUUUAUCAAAUCCGUUGUGUCGAUGUAUCAUGCUAUUUCCAUGGUUACAUUCAUCUGGGAAUAUGGUAUUGAGAUUUAUGACUUUCUAGAAUAACUGUACCCUGUUAAGUUUCAAUUCCUUGUGGCCCUACCCCGAAUCUCUAUUAAAGGGUUAAUAAAAAUUACUCUCAACAAAA